CCAGGAGGUGUUCUGCAGAAAUAACUGGCAGGAUUUGAGCAUGUCCUGGGUGUGAGGAGCUGCAGAUCACAAAGAAGAUGUUCCUGGCCUGAGCGACGAGCAAUCCUGGGCUGCAAACAAGACUGAAAAAGGAUAAUGGAUACCUUGGGGAAAAAGGGCCAUGGAAGGCUUUGUGCAUCCCUGUGGAUACCUUGGAAGGAGAAAUAUCUGAGAAGGUGAAAAUCUGCAGGAGCUGCAUCCUGCCAAGCAGCAUGCUGAGAAGUUUUCCUCUCCCAAACUAAGCAGAUGUUAGUCAAAGUCUGAAGUUCCUUUAUUUUCCUUUAAUGAAAUUACUAAGCAAACAUUUUGGAGAAGGAAAAUUCACGACCUCAUUAAGCAGGAGCCACGGCCCUUCGCCAUUUCCAUUUCUGUUCUGUCUGGAAUUCGGCUGCCUGCCGUUAAAAUGCCAAAAUUCAUCACGAAUUAAACGACCAAAGACUGCGAGAUGCUGCAGUUAUUUCCUUCUCUUCACCUAAGAAGUGUUGAGGUGGUUUAGAGGUAAUGUAAAGGAUUUUUAAUAGUGAUGCACCAGGGUAAUGUCAAAUAUCUUCUAGCAGUGACAUAAUGCGAGCAAGGGUAGGAAAAAAUGUGUCAUUUCACAUCUCAACAAGCACAAAGAAGUUUGAAGAGCUGAUUUCCCAUUGCAAUCAUCUGGGUUCCUGUCCUAGGGAAAGGCUCAAGACUGAGUAAAAGAUGUUGGAGUAGAUAAUGAUGAAUAGAAAGAAAGUUUAAAAAAAAGAGAAUGGAUGAGAAAAGGGUGAAGGGUAAUGAAAAGUGAAGCAGGAAACAUGGAUCAGCCAAGAGAUAGCGGUGAUUUUAGUUAGUGACCUUGAGAUAGCUCACCUGGGACCUGUUUUUCAGAGACUGGAGGGAAUCUUUUGACUUUCAGAGAUGCUCAGGAAGCCAGAUUGCAGCCCAGAAUUACCAGGCACUUUUGUAAAGAGCUUCUUUACUAGCCUGGAAAGUGCAUCUGUGGGUGGAAAAUGUCCUUCCAUGCCCCAUUUCCAUUGCAUCUCGAUGGAUCCCUGGAGCUGCCUCCUGCUUUUACAGUCCUUUCGUAUCUCCUGGCUCUCCUUGUGUUAUGAUCUCAGUUUAGUACCUGAACUUGUGAUGAAAUUCAUGAGGAAAAUUCCCUGAUGGCUUGGUCAAUCUCCUGCUGUAGUCUUAGGGCCUUAGUUUGAAACCUAUUAAGGAUCCUGUGUACACCAAAGGUGAAAAGGUUUUGUGUUGGAGCAAAAUUCCUUCGGAAAUGUUCCAAAAAAAGCAAAAGAAGAACCAAGAAAGCAUGGUAACAGCUUACAGUAAGAGAGGAAACAGUUAAGUAGUCAUUUUCUAUUAUAAGAAAUAGACUUUUCAAUUAAUUUCUUCUUUAGAGAAAGCUAAAUCAUUCACGAUAUUUAAAUAAAUGUGUCCAGUUUAGACACUGAAAGACCAUCUCUGACAUCCCAAGUGUAUUUAUUCUUGUUUAUUCCUACGGUAAUAACUUGACAGAAGAUCUGCAUCGCUGUUAUUGCUUCUUACAGGAGGACUAAGCCCAAGAAAAACAGGCUGUUGGGUCUGACCUGCUGAUUAAUGAGUGAUAACAAAGCAUUAUUACAAUCUGUGUGCAUCUGAAUGUCAGCUGAGAGGAAGAAAGGAAGAAUCAGCUGGGAAAAAUAACUAAGAUGCAAUGAAGUGUACACACAUCUCUUUAAAAAUGACAUAACAUUGAAAUUGAAAACAAAAUAUGGCUAAAGCUAGAGGUCUAAAAAAGGGAACGAUGUGAGAUGAAACAAUAUUUUUUAGUUUUUUCUCGAAAGAACAGGAAAUUGUGGUGUUAGCCCAGUGGUUUGAUUUUUACCUUAAACACUCGCUUUAUAUCCUUUUGUGCCCUGAAAGACUCUGCUUCUUGUACAAAAAGGUAGGGCAGCGUGCCAGAAAGUCAGGUUCAAUCUCUUUGGAGAAGUCCUCAGCCGCAGCUCAUGGGCUCCAGCCUCUCUUCUGCCUUGGCGUUACGUGGCAGCAGUUACAGAAAAAGCUUUAGGGCAGGAUAAAUGUGAAACGCUUCCAUUUGGGGCCGUAAAUAUUUUUCAGAAGUGAAAAAUAGACAAAAUAGUAGGAGAGAAUAGGACGGAAUGCUUCCUAAAUCCUUCAGGUCUAUAGAAGAAAAUCCCCACCUGCUGUCCCAAAUCAUUUCCAUCAACUUCAGGGUGACUCCCUCAGUGUAUGGCCACUUUCUUUCUCAGAAAGUCUGAGGAGGACAUAUAAAUCCACUUAAUACUGGAAAACAAGACAGCAAGAGAAAUCCUAACAACUUAUUUAAAUAUUGAAUGAAUGAAACAAGCCACUAAAGUAAAAUAAUGCUGCUCAGGCUACUGGUGUGUUGAGCUCAGCAGUGUUUGUGUUGUCUCGUGCUUUCCUUGUGAUUUCCUGACUGCCUCUCUCCAUCUGCUGGCUCCUAUAUUUAGGCUGCAAACAUUUGUUUGGGUGUUCAGAGGGCUCGGCCCUUUUGGUCCUGAUCCACGACCGAUACUCUGAGAUGUUGCUGCCACGUUAAUUGUAGUGUAGGAGGCACUUACUCCACUCUUUCCUUUACGUGAUGCGUUGGAUGAAGCGUGCUGAGACUGGAGACAUUUCAGAACAUGUUGGUGUCGACUGCCCAGGGAUAGCUUUGUUGUGCCAGGUGCUAAAUAAAC
Molecule: long non-coding RNA, 2714 nt
Organism: Anas platyrhynchos (mallard)
Lineage: Eukaryota; Metazoa; Chordata; Aves; Anseriformes; Anatidae
Source: RefSeq, a predicted model, not a curated record